AUUGAACGCUGGCGGCAUGCCUUACACAUGCAAGUCGAACGGCAGCACGGGAGCAAUCCUGGUGGCGAGUGGCGAACGGGUGAGUAAUAUAUCGGAACGUGCCCAGUCGUGGGGAUAACGUAGAGAAAUUUACGCUAAUACCGCAUACGAUCUAAGGAUGAAAGCGGGGGAUCGCAAGACCUCGCGCGAUUGGAGCGGCCGAUAUCAGAUUAGGUAGUUGGUGGGUAAAGGCUCACCAAGGCAACGAUCAGUAGCUGGUUUGAGAGAACGACCAGCCACACUGGAACUGAGACACGGUCCAGACUCCUACGGGAGGCAGCAGUGGGGAAUUUUGGACAAUGGGGGCAACCCUGAUCCAGCAAUGCCGCGUGAGUGAAGAAGGCC
This 384-nucleotide ribosomal RNA is filed under the name uncultured bacterium. Its description in RNAcentral is "bacterial SSU rRNA". It matches the Rfam family "Bacterial small subunit ribosomal RNA", at positions 30 to 416 of the family's 1533-position model. The record is from RNAcentral.